This 2773-nucleotide unclassified non-coding RNA is filed under the name Amphibalanus amphitrite. Its description in RNAcentral is "uncharacterized LOC122393651, transcript variant X2". The record is from RNAcentral. Lineage: Eukaryota; Metazoa; Arthropoda; Thecostraca; Balanomorpha; Balanidae.
GUGACAUCCGCUGAGAUUUGUCACAGGCGUUCCAAUUGGAGACGAGCACCUUUGGAUAUGCCAAUGAGCAGGCCUGAUGCUGGCCAUGCGAUUCUCGGGGCAUUGGAUUGGUCAUUGAGUGCGUGGGCGGCGAGGGUUCCCGCCCGCCUCGCGCUGACGCCUCGCACACGCCAUAUUUCGCCGCCCCCAAUGGGCGUGAAUGCCGCCAUUGGGUGAAAAGCCACCCACCUGCACUUCCCUUUCACCAUUUUACAGUGAAACUUGGGCAUCAGCUGGACUUAAUUGGCUACAAUACCACUGAGUGACCCAACACUCAACACAAUACUCAACUUCAACUUCAAAGAAUGGAUGGCGGCGGGAACAUCCGACCUCGGCCUGGUGGACGGGAUGACGCCGUCGCUCGUCGUCGCAACCGAGAACCCGUUCUUCCCAGCGUCCUGCGCGUAAAGCUGCAUCUGAGCCUCCAAGUGUGCUCCGGUCAGGCGACAACCCUACGGGAAGCGACGCCACGCAUGCGUCUGAUAAAACAGAUCGAUCUCAUCAAGAGCCAUCCGAUGGACCAAACCAGAGCCUUGCGACCAGCAGGCCGUCCGACCCUACUUCAUACCUCGAGUAUAAUCUUGCCGAUCUCAGCGAGGAACAGUCCUACACCACCGCGUCGGAUGAGCCGGACUGGGUCCCGCGUCACGAGCCCAUCACUGCCGUACCCGAGGACUCUGGUGACCAGGCCGACUCUGAAUCAUCCGACACGGAACCUCAGCGGCGGGCCUGGUUCUGCAGACGUCCGGGCUGCGGCCAUCUCAAUCCGGGCAGCGUCCCGCUGUGCCAGCUCUGCAACGCGGGUCGUCUUCUGGGGCAGCCGAUGGCUGAAGAUGGGGCGGCGAGAGGCGCCCCGAUGGAGCCGCCUCACCGUGCUCGCCGGGCCAGCGGCGACCUCUGCCUGAUCUGCCGUCAGAGGCCGGCCGACCACGCCUUCCUGCACAGAGGCAGGCGUGGGAGGCAGGAGGCGUGCCGCGCCGCCUGCGGCAGCUGCGCCGAGCGCCGCCGCCGCCGCCGACAGCCGUGCCCGCACUGUCGCCAUCCCAUCCAGAUGGUCAUCACAAUAAUUCGCCACUAAGAUGCUCGCGACCGCGGUCCCCAGGUGGUCCGGAGGUGGGAGGACGGCAGCCACCGCUGCGUAGGACCCGAUUUUUCGUUGUAUUUAGCGUUGAUUCUGUUGAUCAUGUAUUCGACAUCAGCACCCGUGUCGAAGCUAUAUCAACGAGUACGAAAUGUGUAUCGUACUUACAUUUGUGAGAUCUAAAGGUCAUCGAGGGGCGCGGCAUUCCGCUUGUCAUUCCUCUGUUUGCGCGAGUUAGUGAUAGAUUUCGCGUAGCACGUGUGAAACUUUACAACCGUAAGUGAUGGUACGGACAUCGGUUGCUACCGCAUGGUUCCGUAAAGCUAGUGCGUUAGAGCUGCUCCUCUGCUUAGUAUGCUGGUAGCUUUUGUAUAUGUCGCCCUGGCGUAGUCUUGCCAGCGCCCGGCGAAAUGCCGUCCUGUGCGGUGCCUUAUCUCCGGAGGGAUUUUCGUAAAGUAUGGGUAGGACAUGGCUGGCCCGUUGGUGCAUGUUGUAUGUACGCUUGGACUGGCCAGCGCGCCUGCUGGACACGCCGACGGACGCCGCCUUCGGCAGCUCAGCGGGUUGGCCUGGCCGGCUGACCCGCGACCCUUCCCCUUCCGGAGAGAGCGUGGAUCGACCGAUGCGUCUGCCUGGUGGACGACGCGGGCCUCCGAGUGGUAUGUACGACAGCUCUCACAGGGCCGCUUCCCGGGUAAUGCUCAAUGGUACCCCAGUAUCUUUGACUGUAAGCUUGUUUGAACCGAAGUGGGCGUCAUUUUAGCCUUUUGGCGUAUUUUCCACACCUUCCCAUACAUUUAAAGUUUGACACAUUGUUAAAUGGAUUUACUCAACCACUUAAAGUAUCUAUGGUCCUAGAUAAUUUGGUCACGAAUUUAGGAGUCAUCAAUUCAGGCGUGCCUUCUAUUGAGGUGGUACUAACGCCUGCGUUUACAGGUCAUCGUGCUUUUGUGAUCCUAGUCAACAUGAUCCGUUAUCCUAGUCAUUGUUAUUUCUAGUCUGAACUCUGAUAUUACACAAGUUCUUUCAUUGUGUUGUUACUGAUUGAUUUAAAAUAUAAAAUGAAUAAUAGCUUUUUAUCGAUGAAAACAGAAAAGCUAUGUCAUUAAGCAUAUUGAAUGUACAUAUUUUACACGUCUAUAUAUUAUAUAAACCAAAUAUUGUAAACUAGUUUUUGACUACAAGGAGAUGUCUAGAGUCGAUAGAUUGUAAUAUAACAAUCUUCCAAAUCUUUCAACAAUCUUUCCAAUCUUUCUUUCUUCAACAAUCUUUCCCCACUCCAUAAUCCCACUUCUUCCUGUGAUACCUGCUCGAGCUGUGUAGAGUGUAGCUCAAUGUAACCAAAUAUGUUCUCUGGUCAGAUGUGGUCGCGUGCUGGAUUAAUGCUGACAUUGAAACUGGCGAUGCGCUGUUCUGUGAUGGUACAACUACUGUGACGUCCGUGGUCCAAUUAUACAUUGUGUAUGUGUGUGUAUGUGUCAUUAUGUAUGUGUCAGUGAAACUUGGCUGUGUUGAUAAUGAACGCUUGACUUUUUACCUUUGUAGCGUUGAAUAAUAAUUGCACUCGCGAAACUUGCGGAUGAUUGUCAUUGUGAUGCUAUGGUAUGUUGAUCUGAUGAAAAAAAUAUAUUCCUUACAGGAAUGAAAAAGAAA